GUAGGUGUCUUCCCGUUCCGGCUGAAGUGUUCAUUAGUAUUCCCCUGUAAUCCAGCCAGUCGAACCGGGAACCCCGGGCUCCGGCCGUCGCUGCCUCUUCGCUGGGCUAUAAAUCAAGCAGAAUACAGUUACAGUGGAAAAUCACUGCAAGACCGUAGGUGUACAGGACUGACCGAAGAGCCCAGAGACAGCAAACUGAUGUGAAAGAACCGGAGGACGAACACCCAGCAUCGACUGAUGACACUCCCGUAUGUGUGGUGCCGAAACCCAGGAGAGACCAGCGAGAUGCAGAUGGACGGGGACAAGCUGGAACGCAUCCUGGAGCGGCUUCAGCUGCAGGAGCGAGAGUCACUCGAUGCGAUACUGGCGGUCCAGCUCACCGAACGCCGCGCCCUGGCGGAUGCUCUGGCCACCUUGGCGGACAGCCCAGCCCCGCCGACAACCGGCUCCGUCUAUCUCCCGAGGAUGGUGCCGGAGGACGACCCGGAGACCUUCUUGGAGGUCUUUGAGUGCACCGCCUGCGCCUGUCGGUGGCCUCCAGAAGAGUGGGCCUGCGGCUCACUCCCCUCCUCACGGGCGAGGUCUUGUUGGCAGUGCGUCAGGUCCCAGCCGCGGCCGCCGCGGAUUACG
RNAcentral lists this long non-coding RNA (630 nucleotides) under Scleropages formosus (Asian bonytongue). Its description in RNAcentral is "lncRNA (ENSSFOG00015032343.1)". The record is from RNAcentral. Lineage: Eukaryota; Metazoa; Chordata; Actinopteri; Osteoglossiformes; Osteoglossidae.